Molecule: long non-coding RNA, 685 nt
Filed under: Solanum tuberosum (potato)
Lineage: Eukaryota; Viridiplantae; Streptophyta; Magnoliopsida; Solanales; Solanaceae
Description: long non-coding RNA (STUB_LNC011753)
Source: RNAcentral
AACAUUGCAGUUAAGCAGGUGCAAUUUUGAAUUUGACAAAAGAUUUUCUUGUCUUGAGUCUCUUUCUUUGAAUCAUGUCCAUAUUUCAGAUGCCCAAUUACAAAGAGUUAUCGACAGAUGCCCAUCUAUCAGGACUCUAAGGACUCGUUUGGUGUAAGGGAUAAUACCAAAUAGUCCCGGGAUUAAAUUAUAGUACCGCUUAUUUUGUUGUUUGGUUGGCAAGUUCGGGAUAACUUAUCCCGGGAUUAAUAAUUAGUACCGGGAUAAGUUAUCCCUCUCCUUGGGUGGUAUAGUAAUCCCGGGAUAACUUAUCCCGGGAUAAAAUAGGUAAAUGACAAAAAUGUCUCUUUCAACCCUUUUGUUGUAUCACUUUUUACCUUAAUGAAGGGCAUUUUUGUAAAUAAAUAAAUUGUUCUUAAAAUUUAUUAUUUUGAAUAUAACAAACCAAACACUCAAUAAAAAUAAUCCAACACAACUUAUCCCAUCAUAACUAAUCCCAACAUAACUUAUCCCAUCAUAACUCAUUUUCAAACCAAACGACCCCUAAGGUUACAGUGUUGUCAGGGUAUAAGCAAAUGUCAUAUUUUUGGCCUAGUACAUCUCAAGUAUUUCGAUGCUAGUUAUUGCAAACUCCAUAGUGUCAUAGUCCAAGCUCCAUAUCUUCAAUGCUUUAGAUAUACAGAAC